CUCUGCAGGAGCAGGAUCA
This 19-nucleotide unclassified non-coding RNA is filed under the name Chlamydomonas reinhardtii. Its description in RNAcentral is "small RNA Cre_1457". The record is from RNAcentral. Lineage: Eukaryota; Viridiplantae; Chlorophyta; Chlorophyceae; Chlamydomonadales; Chlamydomonadaceae.